CACGAACCGUACGAACGUUAUUCGGAAUCACUGGGCUUAAAGAGUGCGUAGGCGGCCUUGUAAGUUGGGUGUGAAAUCCCUCGGCUCAACCGAGGAAUUGCGCUCAAUACUGCAGGGCUUGAGGGAGAUAGAGGUGAGCGGAACUAAUGGUGGAGCGGUGAAAUGCGUUGAUAUCAUUAGGAACACCGGAGGCGAAAGCAGCUCACUGGGUCUUUUCUGACGCUGAGGCACGAAAGCUAGGGGAGCGAACGGGAUUAGAUACCCCGGUAGUCCUAGCUGUAAACGAUGAGCACUGGGUCGAGGGUGCUUCCACACAUUCUCGGCCGUAGCGAAAGUGUUAAGUGCUCCGCCUGGGGAGUAUGGUCGCAAGGCUGAA
RNAcentral lists this ribosomal RNA (376 nucleotides) under uncultured bacterium. RNAcentral's name for it is "bacterial SSU rRNA". It matches the Rfam family "Bacterial small subunit ribosomal RNA", at positions 524 to 898 of the family's 1533-position model. The record is from RNAcentral.